RNAcentral lists this ribosomal RNA (546 nucleotides) under uncultured bacterium. RNAcentral describes it as "partial 16S ribosomal RNA". It matches the Rfam family "Bacterial small subunit ribosomal RNA", at positions 355 to 887 of the family's 1533-position model. The record is from RNAcentral.
UGGGGAAUAUUGCACAAUGGGCGCAAGCCUGAUGCAGCCAUGCCGCGUGUGUGAAGAAGGCCUUCGGGUUGUAAAGCACUUUCAGCGAGGAGGAAGGUGGUGAGCUUAAUACGCUCAUCAAUUGACGUUACUCGCAGAAGAAGCACCGGCUAACUCCGUGCCAGCAGCCGCGGUAAUACGAAGGGUGCAAGCGUUAAUCGGAAUUACUGGGCGUAAAGCGCACGCAGGCGGUUUGUUAAGUCAGAUGUGAAAUCCCCAGGCUCAACCUGGGAACUGCAUUUGAAACUGGCAAGCUAGAGUCUCGUAGAGGGGGGUAGAAUUCCAGGUGUAGCGGUGAAAUGCGUAGAGAUCUGGAGGAAUACCGGUGGCGAAGGCGGCCCCCCUGGACGAAGACUGACGCUCAGGUGCGAAAGCGUGGGGCAGCAAACAGGAUUAGAUACCCUGGUAGUCCACGCUGUAAAACGAUGUCGAUUUUGGAGGUUGUGCCCCUUGAGGCGUGGCUUCCGGAGCUAACGCGUUAAAUCGACCGCCUGGGGGAGUACGGCC